CGGGCGGCCGUGAACCUGCUGGAGUGCGGGGGGGACCUCCAGCCCCCCGGGGGGUCCCUGACUCUGCUCUGCCGCGCCUCCGGGUUCAAUUUUGGGAGUUUCAACAUGAUGUGGGCCCGUCAGAGCCCUGGGAAGGGUCUAGAAUACGUCGCAGAGAUCAGCGACGAUGGCUUCGCCGGCUACGCGCUGUCGGUCAAGGGUCGCUUCACGAUCUCCAGGGACAACAGGCAGAGCUCGGUGACGCUGACCAUGAACAACCUCAAGGACGAGGAUUCCGCCGUUUAUUUCUGUGCCAAGGCUGCUAGUACUGGUUAUGCUGCUCUUGUUGCUAAUGUUGAUGGUUUUGGCCCCAUCCCCUUGAGCUUUGAUUCAAAGUCUUUAAGACCAAAGUUUGGAUCCAUGGUCGAGUGCUGA
This is a non-coding RNA of Catharus ustulatus (Swainson's thrush), 414 nucleotides long. Lineage: Eukaryota; Metazoa; Chordata; Aves; Passeriformes; Turdidae. The record is from the annotation of a RefSeq genome assembly.